AAAUAAGCACCCCCAGCCCCUCCCUGUCCUCGCAAAUUUAUGUAUAAAGAGCUGGAGUAAAGAGGCAAUCGUGUGGCUUCUUCUCUUCUUUUUCCUCAUUCAACAAACACUUUCAAUCCCCAUUCUGUUUCUGUUUUAUACAGGCUUCUUUCCUUCCUGCUUUUAAUUGUUUCUUUUCCUCUCUUCUCUGCCUCAUUAAAACUGAGCAACUCUCCUGUUUUCUCUUCUUUUCUCUCUUGCCAAACAAAUUUACCUUUUUCUAAUGGUGAGAGUAAAAAUGCAAUUCACCCUCUUUCUUCUCUGAUCACUCUUCUUCACUUCUUUGUUUUUUUUCUUCCCUUUGUUGCAUCUCAAAAAUCUGUCUUUCACUCUGCUUCUGAGGCAUUAUAUAGAAAGGAGACAGCUUUGGGGGUUUUCAACUUCUGUUUUAUUUCAUCUUCCUGUCUGGUUUUAUAGCUGGUUUCUUUUGGUCAAAAUGAGUGUACAACACCUAAGGAGUGACAAUAAUAGUUUCAGUGGGUGUCAAAACAUGAACUUUCUGCCUCCACCUGCCGCUUCUCAACUGUAUCUCGCUAGAUUUGGGGUAAUGGGUAAGCCUAGAGAGACGGAAACCAAAAAUCCUCAAACGGGGUUUCAGUUUUUGAGCCAUUCAAUGGACCAAAACGGAAAGCCAUGGAGUAUUCAUCAGGUAGAAAACAGGGGAACUAAGAGGCCUCAUGAUGGGAGUGAUGGGAUUUUCGGAAUUCAAAAGAAAGAUCUGUCUUUGAAUUUAGUUGAAGAAGAGGAGCCUAAGAGCUCUGCUCCUGGUAAAAAUGGUCACACAAAGCUUUGUGCCCGAGGCCAUUGGAGACCUGCUGAAGAUGCCAAACUCAAAGAGCUUGUUGCCCAAUACGGUCCUCAAAACUGGAAUUUGAUUGCUGAGAAUCUUGAAGGAAGAUCGGGGAAGAGCUGUAGAUUAAGGUGG
RNAcentral lists this unclassified non-coding RNA (964 nucleotides) under Hevea brasiliensis (rubber tree). The record is from RNAcentral. Lineage: Eukaryota; Viridiplantae; Streptophyta; Magnoliopsida; Malpighiales; Euphorbiaceae.